GAUGGGAUGGCGGCUGAUUAGGUAGUUGGUGAGGUAAUGGCUCACCAAGCCAAAGAUCAGUAGGGGUCGUGAGAGCGAUGACCUCCAGAAGGACACUGAGAUAAGGGUCCUAGCCCUAAGGGGUGCAGCAGGCGCGAAACCUCUACAAUGCACGCAAGUGUGAUAGGGAAACCCCUUGUGCUUAUCUAACGAUAGGCUUUUGUAAAACUUAGCGCGUUUUACGAAUAAGUGGUGGGCAAGACUGGUGCCAGCAGCCGCGGUAAUACCAGCGCCACAAGUGGAAAUCAUGUUUAUUGGGUCUAAAGUGUUCGUAGCCGGUGAAGUAAGUUUCUUGUGAAAGUUUUGUAGCUUAACUCAAAAUUUGCAAGAAAUACUGCUUGACUUGAGACCGGGAGAGGUGCAAGGUAUUAUUUGGGUAGCGGUAAAAUGCUAUAAUCCUUAUAAGACCAACUAAUGCGAAGGCAUUGUACUGGAACGGAUCUGACGGUGAGGAACGAGAGCUGGGGGAGCGAAC
This 514-nucleotide ribosomal RNA is filed under the name uncultured euryarchaeote. RNAcentral's name for it is "bacterial SSU rRNA". It matches the Rfam family "Archaeal small subunit ribosomal RNA", at positions 208 to 724 of the family's 1478-position model. Lineage: Archaea; Methanobacteriati; Methanobacteriota. The record is from RNAcentral.